CUGCUCACCAAGACCAACCGUAUCUACCGCAUCUUUGAGCAGGGCAAGCGCUCGGUCACACCCCCUCCCUUCAUCAGCCCCACCUCGCAGCUGGUCAUCACCUUCAGCCUCACCUCCCUGCAGGUGGUGGGGGUGAUAGCAUGGCUGGGGGCCCGGCCCCCACACAGCGUGAUUGACUAUGAGGAACAGCGGACAGUGGACCCCGAGCAGGCCAGAGGGGUGCUCAAGUGCGACAUGUCGGAUCUGUCUCUCAUCGGCUGCCUGGGCUACAGCCUCCUGCUCAUGGUCACGUGCACAGUGUACGCCAUCAAGGCCCGUGGGGUGCCCGAGACCUUCAACGAGGCCAAGCCCAUCGGCUUCACCAUGUACACCACCUGCAUCAUCUGGCUGGCAUUCGUGCCCAUCUUCUUUGGCACUGCCCAGUCAGCUGAAAAGGUAAUGAGGUCCCCAGGAGGUCUCGCUGCCUGUUUCCUGCCUGUCUGGCUGGUCGAUUCAUUCAUGAGAUUAAAUGCUUCUUCGUGCUUUUGUUUA
Molecule: small RNA, 531 nt
Filed under: Pan troglodytes (chimpanzee)
Lineage: Eukaryota; Metazoa; Chordata; Mammalia; Primates; Hominidae
Description: retained intron
Source: RNAcentral